UACCAGCACCCCGAGUGGUCGGGACGAUUAUUGGGCCUAAAGCAUCCGUAGCCGGUUUUACAAGUCCUCCGUUUAAUCCAACUGCUUAACAGAUGGGCUGCGGAGGAUACUACAAGGCUAGGAGGCGGAAGAGGCAAGCGGUACUCAGUGGGUAGGGGUAAAAUCCUCUGAUCCAUUGAAGACCACCAGUGGCGAAGGCGGCUUGCCAAUACGCGCUCGACGGUGAGGGAUGAAAGCUGGGGGAGCAAACCGG
Molecule: ribosomal RNA, 253 nt
Filed under: uncultured bacterium
Lineage: Bacteria
Description: partial 16S ribosomal RNA
Rfam family: Archaeal small subunit ribosomal RNA
Source: RNAcentral